UCGGACCCAUCGCUCUUGCGGUAAAUGCUUGUAUUUUAUAUGUAUUUAAGUUUGUCACGUCCAUCCUACCUAUUAUAUUAUUUAUAUUUUAAGGGAUAUAACGGACCUUACGGGAAAGAGUACGGACGGCUAAGGCCGACCACCUCCACGGCUAUUGCUGGAUGCUAUUAAUAGGAGACAGGUAUUUUUUUUGGUGGAAUAGGAGACAGGUAUUGACAACACUACCCACCCGGGAACGGUCACCGGUAGACUUUAGGUGGUCGUUGCGGCUAGCAUGGAGCCAUGCAUCACUUCUUCCACAGGAGCUACGUGGAUGCUGUAGCCUUGGAGAAAUUAUUGCAUACACCC
This 348-nucleotide long non-coding RNA is filed under the name Elaeis guineensis (African oil palm). Its description in RNAcentral is "long non-coding RNA (EGUI_LNC016243)". The record is from RNAcentral. Lineage: Eukaryota; Viridiplantae; Streptophyta; Magnoliopsida; Arecales; Arecaceae.